UACGUAGGUGGCAAGCGUUAUCCGGAAUUACUGGGCGUAAAGCGCACGCAGGCGGUCUGUUAAGUUUGACGUGAAAGCUCCCGGCUUAACUGGGAGAGGUCGUUGAAUACUGGAAGACUUGAGGAAAUGAGAGGGGUGUAGAAUUCCUGGUGUAGUGGUGGAAUGCGUAGAUAUCAGGAGGAAUACCAGUGGCGAAAGCGGCACCCUAGCAUUUUUCUGACGCUCAUGUGCGAAAGCGUGGGGAGCGAACGGG
RNAcentral lists this ribosomal RNA (253 nucleotides) under uncultured bacterium. Its description in RNAcentral is "partial 16S ribosomal RNA". It matches the Rfam family "Bacterial small subunit ribosomal RNA", at positions 524 to 776 of the family's 1533-position model. The record is from RNAcentral.